Long non-coding RNA from Nicotiana tabacum (common tobacco), 1000 nucleotides. RefSeq lists it as uncharacterized. The record is from RefSeq and is a predicted model, not a curated record. NCBI's taxonomy places the organism in Eukaryota, Viridiplantae, Streptophyta, Magnoliopsida, Solanales, Solanaceae.
GAUCAUCACAUUACCAUUGUUGAAAAUCCCUAUACUCUUUCUCCUCCCUGUUUGCUCUUCUACACAGAUUUUGCUUCAUCUUUGUUGAUUUACUUUAAUUCCUUAGCUAAUCUCUAAAUUCUUUCCCCAUCACAGUUUCCAAUUUGCGUUUUCUAGUUAUUUGCGCUUUGAUUUUUGAUUCUGCUCCGUCUUUAACUUACUCCUUCGCCAUCGCAGAAAAAUUGGAUAACAACUGCUUAUGUUGACGCCCAUGAAGUAUUCAAAAAUAUGCCGCAUUGUUGACUUUACCCACGGAUUCAGGAAAUGCUGCAAAUUUAUUCACACUUGCAUGUCUAUAAUCCUUUCAAAGUUGAUAGAUGGUAGUACAAACGAACAAAAGGCCGUGAACAGAUUCAAUUUGACCUUCUCCAUCUGUAUUUGAGUUUAUGCAGCAGAGCAGAGAUGACAUCUUCGUCAAGGUUGAAUUUCUCUUUGGAUCAGUUUGUGUUUUCCUUAACUCUUGGUUUUACCAAUCUUUACGAUCAAGCUUUGCUUCUCUCAGUCAACAAUGGAGUGAUUCCAAGUUAUUUAGAUGUUGUAGAGCUAAUUCGAGCUAUUUGGAGCAUUGAAGUCUAAGUAGAAGCCCAAGUGAUUAAAUCGGGGUCGCGUUCGGGGGUCGAGGACGAAGUCCGAAUGUCAAAUAUUGGAGAAACGAACUUACUCGAAGAAACUGCACAGCCGCGCUGCAUGGGGCGGCACGACAAUGCAAUUUAUGCCGAGAUAGCACAAAAAUAUUAGAGUAACUUUCCAUUUCCGCUAAAAAAAGAUAAUUUUGUCCGGGGUUUAUUGAGGGAUGGCUUAAAUACACGGAAAAAUACCAUUUUCGGGGACUUUUGACAGAUUUUCGACCUAAGGAGGCAAAGGAGGUUUGGGAAGAACACAAGCAUAAGGAUUUCAUCAUUCCUUCCUCACUCAAGAUUCGGGUUUGGAUUGAAUUUAUGUUUUUCUAUACUUUAGUUAU